AAUCAAAGGAGAAGAAAGAAGACG
RNAcentral lists this small RNA (24 nucleotides) under Arabidopsis thaliana (thale cress). Its description in RNAcentral is "ATSL107290". The record is from RNAcentral. Lineage: Eukaryota; Viridiplantae; Streptophyta; Magnoliopsida; Brassicales; Brassicaceae.